GUUCUCAAAGCUCGUGACUUGAAAAAUCAAAAAAUAUUGCGUGAUCCGUCCAUGCAAUUUCAAUUUAGAGGUCCUCGCCAUCGCUUCCACCAUCAUUCCACCCGGUCGUGUUUUAUUUCUAUUUAAAUAAUCUUAAUAAAGUUCUGUUACUGUUAUCGUGGUAAGUUCCAACUCUUGUAAAAAAAAAAAUGUUACGUUGCAUAGCUGCACGUGGUUUUACAUCCACCGCCCCUAUUAUUUCUACUUCUUGUAAAAUGGUCAAAUAUUUCAGUAACGACAGAUCUCCCAGUAAGAAAUUCAACAUGCAGAGACCUGCUGGAAUUCAAAAGCGAUCAUUCGGUAAUCGUCCUGGUGGCGGUCGUGAUGGCCGUAGUAAUUAUGGCAGUAGUGAUUAUAGCGGUUUUGCUAAGAAAACGAAGUACGCGCUGACAGCCGAGGACCUCGAGAUACCAGAUUGGGAUACAGUUUCUCUGAAACCAUUCAAGAAAGAUUUUUAUGUUCCUCACGAGAAUGUCGAACGAAGGUCUGACGAAGAAGUACGCGAAUACCGUAAACAACAUAAUAUAACCGUUUCGUGUCAGGCUGGAUUUGAAAUUCCUAAACCUAUUCAACAUUUCACUGAAGCCAAUUUUCCAGAUUACGUAAACGAUAUUUUACGGCGUGAAGGGUUCCAAACACCCACAGUUAUUCAAGCUCAAGGAUGGCCCAUUGCUAUGAGUGGUCAUAAUAUGGUAGGAGUUGCUCAAACCGGCUCUGGAAAAACAUUAGCUUAUAUGUUACCAGCUAUCGUUCAUCUUAAUAAUCAACCCCGUCUUCAGCGUGGAGAUGGUCCUAUCGUUCUUGUAUUAGCUCCAACUAGAGAAUUAGCUCAACAAAUCCAAGUAGUUGCUUCACAGUACGGUACUUCAACCCAUGUACGUUCCACUUGCAUUUUUGGAGGUGCAGGCAAAGGUCCUCAGGCUCGUGACUUGAUGAUGGGCAAAGAGAUCGUUAUCGCUACUCCUGGUCGUUUGUUAGAUUUUCUUCAAAAUAACGCCACAAAUUUGAGAAGAACUACCUAUUUAGUAUUAGACGAAGCUGACCGUAUGUUAGAUAUGGGUUUUGAACCUCAGAUAAGAAAAAUUAUCGGACAGAUUCGACCGGAUCGUCAGGUUCUGAUGUGGUCAGCUACUUGGCCGAAAGAAGUGCGUACUUUGGCCGAAGAUUUUCUGCACAAGAAGUAUAUCCAAUUAAAUGUAGGUUCAUUGACGUUAGCAGCCAACCAUAAUAUUAAACAACAUAUCGAAAUCUGUACUGAAGAAGAAAAAGAAAAUAAGCUAAUGGACUUACUGGAACAGAUCGGCAAUCAAGACGAAAAUAAAACUAUAAUUUUUGCAGAAACUAAAAAAAAAGUUGACGCUUUAACCAGAAUGAUCAGACAAGUUGGUGUUCCUGUUGUUGGUAUUCAUGGAGAUAAAUCCCAAACCGAUCGUGAUUACAGUUUAAAUGCUUUCCGUAAUGGUAGAGCAGCUGUAUUAGUAGCUACGGAUGUUGCUGCUCGUGGAUUAGAGGCACUCUAAAAAAUAUUUAUAUAUUAAAAUGUAUUAAAGGCGUUUAUAGUAAAGGAGGUGCCUCUGGUACGUAAUGAAGAGCUUCCGAAUGUGCUUGACCGAUGAUUCCAGUGCGCGGCAGCGGUGCCGGAUGCCUGUUCUAUAUGGACCGGAAUCUUAUUUCGUGAAGAAUUCCACGUACCUUUGUACUAUGGUUAUUCUUUUCAUAUUGUAUCUUCGGUCCAGUUUGAGUAGUACGUACGAGAGAACGCGCAACUUGACAUGAGUAAGCGCUUUAUCCUUGUCGUAAAUUAAAGGAGCCAUUCGAAUGAAUCUCAAGGGGGCGAUGCUGCGGCGUUGAAAUAGCAAGUGGAUUUUGAAUGGCUCGUUUUAUAUUACAAACUUAGAACAGGACACUGGAUCAUCUGUCGUUGGCGGAGAUGUCGAUGACGUUAAAUUCGUUAUUAAUUACGAUUUCCCCAAUACGUCCGAAGAUUACAUUCACAGAAUAGGAAGAACUGGUAGAUCAUCACAAACUGGUACAUCGUACGCAUUUUUCACCCAAAAUAAUAGCCGUCUA
Molecule: RNA transcript, 2109 nt
Organism: Planococcus citri (citrus mealybug)
Lineage: Eukaryota; Metazoa; Arthropoda; Insecta; Hemiptera; Pseudococcidae
Gene name: ATP-dependent RNA helicase p62-like
Exons: 13
Source: RefSeq, a predicted model, not a curated record